GUUUCAAAAGAAAAUGCUAUAGAUAUUUAACAGGAAUUUUAAGAUAUUUUUAACUUCUCAGAAUCAGGGCCACUACUAGCCAAUGUGAUGCCCUGUGCAAAUCAGAAGUAGGGACACCUUUUUUUUUUCUGGAUAGAUGCAACCCUGCACUAAGGCAGAUCGCUGGAUUUUAGUCCUUGUUUGCCCCCUUAGUCAGGUGCCCUUGUACAGUGCACAACCUGCCCAACCUUGCAGUGCCAUCUGGGAUGAAACAACUACUUAAAAUGGGUAGGUCCUUUGCUCCUCUUCUCUACGAUUACGAUCAUACGUAUUUUUAUAUUUAUAAAAGCAGAAGACUAUAUACACUACUUCCCAUUCAUUUACUCUUUAAGUUAGACAAGUCUCAUAUUCUAGAUAUCCUUAGGGAAGUUGAGAAAGCUGGGCCAUGAAACUCUGAAAAUUGCCUGAAGGGUGGUGCUCUACUUCUAAGAUAACAGUUCACGUUCCCUUCCUCCAGCAAUUCUCCUACUCCUUUAGUGCAGGGACCACUCUCCACCUUGUUUCCUAGUUAUUUCUUCUUCCUUCUACUAGACUGUCAACUCUCUGAAGACAAGGGCCAUUUGCAAACAGCAGAGAGACCUGAGGGAGUUUACUGGUCGUCUUUUGAUAGAAAGUGAACAGAAUUGCUUGAAUCAUUAUUGAUACCAUGCAAAAGACUUGAUCCAUUUUCUUCAGGGACUUGCAUCUCUGAACUCUUGUAGCCUUUUGGGUAUGAGCAACCCUUCAUAGAACAAUUUACUUCCAUUUUUUCUUCCAUCCAGCAGCUGAUGGGAAAAAUUUGCUGACACCAACAGGGCUUGUGGAUGGCGGAAGAUUGUUAAAUAUCAGAUCUCACUUAGGAUCGAGUCAUGCCUUCUCUAAAGGAUUGCAUUCAGGAGCUGGUAGAUUCCAGCAGCUUCUCUGAUGGGGGCUCUGUGUGUUUUCUUUAGUAGGUUCCUUCUCAGCUGCGCUGAAAAGCCGGGGUUAAGCUUUGGUUUGAACCAAAUGAGAGAAAAGGUCAGGUGUGGGGAAAAGAAAUAGAAUCCACCGUGGCAGUCAAUGUGACAGGCAUCCGGGUGUCGGCACAAACAGUGGGAUGUGAUGGGCACGUCUUCUUAAUUAAGGAGUAGUUUUGGGAUCUACUUAGGAAAGCUGUGAGACCCGGCUCAGUAUGCCACACAACCGAGCCUCAUUAGCCCAGAUGCCUCCCCACAGACGAGAGAGCUGAGUAUUUCCCCAAUGUUGGAAACCUGGUAAUUGCCUUUUGCAGGAAAAGCAAUGACAGUUUCUGCACACUCUCCCAAUUUCCUGAAAACUUUGAUUGUUUUUAGGACAUUCUGGGAUGAGUAAAAACCCAAGGCAGCUCCUUCUAAGCUAUGUUUUAUACCACGGGCCCUGAGGUCAUGUGUUUCCUCUUCUCCCUCAGUAGAACACCGCUCAUUUUGGCUUAAUGCCUUUGCUUUAGACAUUGUCCAUCUCAUCCCCACUUCCUCCCUUCUGAGAGUCAGGAAAAAAGGAUAUCUCUUCAGGAAAUGGAGCUCUGGCUCUUGGGGUGAGGAAACAAAUUCACCAUGCACAGAUCAAUUUCACAUGGUUUUCAGAAAAGGAUUGCUUUGAAAAGUGAAUCUCUCAUUAAACUCCACCAGGAGGAUUGUGUUCCAUAUUGCCUUUCUCAACAGCCUUCUAGAUCUUGCUGGGCCAGGAACAGCCCCUCUCAGGCCUCAUCUUCCUCUUUUCUAAAACAAGCAGGAACUCAGAGUCCUACACAGCUGGGCUAGUCAAGUGCGGUUCUGGGACCAGCAGUAUCUGCAACACUUGUUUGGUCUCUUAGGACCCAUCCGAGAAAGCCCCAACUCCUCAGCAUGGUGUAUAGAGCCCUUCACUCUCCAGACAACACUUCUGGCCCCCACUUCUGAUGCCAGCUUCCUCAGACACACACAGCUCCCACAUCAGCAACUUGGCCUCAUCAAGACCUCCACUCCAUGCUCCCAGAGCCCAGCUUAUCUUCCUGAAGCCAUGCCUUCCAUGGCUUUACACUUGUCCAUGGAGUCAGCUCAAGAGCCUUCCACCCCUGUGCUUUUUUUUGAACUUUUUCCCACCUCAUUCAGCUCUUCCUCAUAUAGAAUUGCUGCUUCUAUGUAGUCUGAAUAAUCUGAAUGAAGAUUUAUUGGGAUGGAGAUG
This is a long non-coding RNA of Bubalus bubalis (water buffalo), 2199 nucleotides long. RefSeq lists it as uncharacterized. NCBI's taxonomy places the organism in Eukaryota, Metazoa, Chordata, Mammalia, Artiodactyla, Bovidae. The record is from RefSeq and is a predicted model, not a curated record. The transcript is spliced from 2 exons.